ACGAACGCUGGCGGCGUGCCUAACACAUGCAAGUCAACUUGACUGAAGGAGCAAUCUGACAGUAGAGUGGCGCAAGGGUGCGUAACGCGUAAGUAACUUGCCCAAGGUAAGGAAUAACGUCGAGAAUCGGCGCUAAUACCUCAUAAUGCAGCGGAUCCGCAUGGAUAUGUUGUUAAAGGUUUACCGCCUUGGGAUAGGCUUGCGUCUGAUUAGCUAGUUGGUGUGGUAACGGCACACCAAGGCUACGAUCAGUAACUGGUCUGAGAGGAUGAUCAGUCACACUGGAACUGAGACACGGUCCAGACUCCUACGGGAGGCAGCAGUGAGGAAUAUUGGGCAAUGCUCGAAAGAGUGACCCAGCAACGCCGCGUGGAGGAUGAAGGUAUUCUAUAUCGUAAACUCCUGUGAGAGCAGACGAAAGACAGAUUAUUAAUCUGGAUGACUGUAUGCUCAGAGGAAGCCCCGGCUAACUACGUG
Molecule: ribosomal RNA, 477 nt
Filed under: uncultured bacterium
Lineage: Bacteria
Description: bacterial SSU rRNA
Rfam family: Bacterial small subunit ribosomal RNA
Source: RNAcentral